AAUUGUGUUUGUAGUUUAUCAUAAACGUUCUGAUAUUUGGGGGGAGCUAGAUGACUCAGGGGAUUAGGAAUGGGACUUGGAGGCUUCCAACUUGUAAUUGAGACCAACCCAAGUUCAUGGGGAUCAGAAAUGGUUACCAGGUGCAGACUGUUCAGUGGCCUUUAAUCUAACUAACCGGUUCCAAGGGAGAGAAAUCCAUUUAGAACAGUCCUUAACUAUCUGCCUGCAAGCUAAAAUGCGGUGUGAGAGAAGAGGAGAAGCAGAAACAGUGGAGCUGAUUAUAC
Mauremys reevesii (Reeves's turtle) is the source of this 284-nucleotide long non-coding RNA. RefSeq lists it as uncharacterized. The record is from RefSeq and is a predicted model, not a curated record. The transcript is spliced from 3 exons. Lineage: Eukaryota; Metazoa; Chordata; Testudines; Geoemydidae.